This 74-nucleotide transfer-messenger RNA is filed under the name Ruminococcus sp. Its description in RNAcentral is "partial transfer-messenger RNA". It matches the Rfam family "transfer-messenger RNA", at positions 300 to 374 of the family's 374-position model. From Rfam's summary of the family: Bacterial tmRNA, also known as 10Sa RNA or SsrA, is named for its dual tRNA and mRNA-like properties. Lineage: Bacteria; Bacillati; Bacillota; Clostridia; Eubacteriales; Oscillospiraceae. The record is from RNAcentral.
UAGGUAAACUAUACUCGUAGAAAGUUGCAUGAAUAGUCUUUCGGACAGGGGUUCAAUUCCCCUCGCCUCCACCA